This 492-nucleotide ribosomal RNA is filed under the name uncultured bacterium. Its description in RNAcentral is "partial 16S ribosomal RNA". It matches the Rfam family "Bacterial small subunit ribosomal RNA", at positions 29 to 507 of the family's 1533-position model. The record is from RNAcentral.
AGUGAACGCUGGCGGUAUGCCUAACACAUGCAAGUCGAGCGGCAGCACAGUAAGAUCUUGCUCUUACUGUUGGCGAGUGGCGGACGAGUGAGGAGUACAUCGGCAUCUUCUUUUUCUUGGGUAAUAACGUGGGAAAACUUACACUACUACCUCAUACUACCUACGGCUGAGAUCAGAAGAUCUUCGCGCCUUUCGCGAUUGUAUUAGCCGAGGUCGCAUUAGCUAGUUGGCUGGGUAAAGGCCCACCAAGGCGACGAUCCGUAGCUGGCCUGAGAGGAUGAUCAGCCACACUGGAACUGAGACACGGUCCAGACUCCUACGGGAGGCAGCAGUGGGGAAUCUUCGACAAUGGGCGAAAGCCUGAUCCAGCCAUACUGCGUGGGUGAAGAAGGCCUUCGGGUCGUAAAGCCCUUUUGUUAGGAAAGAACAGAAGCAGGUUAAUACCCCGAUGUUCUGACGGUACCCAAAGAAAAAGCAACGGCUAACUUCGUG